UGCAAGUCGAACGAAGCACUUUAUUCAGAUUCUUUCGGGAUGAUGAAUUUAGUGACUUAGUGGCGGACGGGUGAGUAACGCGUGGGUAACCUGCCUUACACAGGGGGAUAACAGUUAGAAAUGACUGCUAAUACCGCAUAAAACAGCAGCACCGCAUGGUGCAACUGUCAAAGAUUUAUCGGUGUAAGAUGGACCCGCGUCUGAUUAGCCAGUUGGUGGGGUAACGGCCUACCAAAGCGACGAUCAGUAGCCGACCUGAGAGGGUGAUCGGCCACAUUGGGACUGAGACACGGCCCAAACUCCUACGGGAGGCAGCAGUGGGGAAUAUUGGACAAUGGGCGAAAGCCUGAUCCAGCGACGCCGCGUGAGCGA
This 372-nucleotide ribosomal RNA is filed under the name uncultured bacterium. Its description in RNAcentral is "bacterial SSU rRNA". It matches the Rfam family "Bacterial small subunit ribosomal RNA", at positions 56 to 408 of the family's 1533-position model. The record is from RNAcentral.